This 1203-nucleotide ribosomal RNA is filed under the name Halorientalis persicus. Its description in RNAcentral is "bacterial LSU rRNA". It matches the Rfam family "Archaeal large subunit ribosomal RNA", at positions 9 to 1238 of the family's 2987-position model. Lineage: Archaea; Methanobacteriati; Methanobacteriota; Halobacteria; Halobacteriales; Haloarculaceae. The record is from RNAcentral.
GCUACUAUGCCAGCUGGUGGAUAGCUCGGCUCAGGUGCCGACGAAGGACGUGCCAAGCUGCGAUAAGCUCCAGGGACCCGCACGGAGGGGAAGAACUGGAGAUUUCCGAAUAGGAAUCCUCACAGCAAUUGCUUCGCGCAAUGGGGAACGCCGGGAAUUGAAACAUCUCAGUACCGGCAGGAAGAGAAAACGAAUGUGAUGUCGUUAGUAACCGCGAGUGAACGCGACCUAGCCCAAACCGAAGCCUUCGGGCAAUGUGGUGUUAGGGCUGACUCUCAUCACCGGAUCGUCUUCACGAAGUCUCCUGGAACGGAGCGUGAAACAGGGUGACAACCCCGUAGUGAAGACCAGUACGGUGUGCGUCAGUUCCAGAGUAUCGGGGGUUGGAAAUCCCUCGUGAACACGGCAGGCAUCGACUGCCAAGGCUAAAUACUACCUGAGACCGAUAGUGAACAAGUAGCGUGAGCGAACGCUGCAAAGCACCCUCAGAAGGGAGGUGCAAUAGGGCUUGAAAUCAGUUGGCGAUGGAGCGACGGGGCACGAAAGGUCCUGUGGCAAACGACCGAAGAGCGAUCUUCCAGUAGGACCCACAGGAAGCCGGUGUUCCGUCGUACGUUUUGAAAAACGAGCCAGGGAGUGUACUUGUUUGGCGAGUCUAACCCGGUCAUCGGGGAAGGCACAGGGAAACCGACAUGGCCGCAGCGCUUUGCGCCAGGGCCGCCGUGUUCAAGCGCGGGGAGCCAAACGGGUACGACCCGAAACCGGAUGAUCUACGCGUGGGCAAGAUGAAGCGUGCCGAAAGGCACGUGGAAGUCUGUUAGGGAUGGUGUCCUACAAUACCCUCCCGUGACCUACGUGUAGGGGUGAAAGGCCCAUCGAAUCCGGAAACAGCUGGUUCCGACCGAAACAUGUCGAAGCAUGACCUCCGCCGAGGUAGUCCGUGGGGUAGAGCUACCGAUUGUGGUGUCCGCCUCCGAGAGGAGUCGGCUCCACUGUCAAACUCCAAACCUACGGACGCUGUCGACGCGGGGAGUCCGGUAUGCGGGGUAAGCCUGUGUACCGUGAGGGAGACAACCCAGAGCUGGGUUAAGGUCCCAAAGUGUGGAUUAAGUGCGAUCGAAGGUGGUCUCAAGCCCUAAACAGCCGGGAGGUGAGCUUAGAAGCAGCUACCCUCUAAGAAAAGCGUAACAGCUUACCGGCCGA